Non-coding RNA from Ictidomys tridecemlineatus (thirteen-lined ground squirrel), 68 nucleotides. The record is from Rfam. NCBI's taxonomy places the organism in Eukaryota, Metazoa, Chordata, Mammalia, Rodentia, Sciuridae.
GCUGUGGCUCAGUGGUAGAGCACUUACCUCACAUCUGUGAGGCCCUGGGUUCGAUUCUCAGCACUGCA